UACGUAGGUGGCGAGCGUUGUCCGGAUUUACUGGGCGUAAAGGGCGUGUAGGCGGCUCUGUAAGUUUGGUGUGAAAUCUCCCGGCUCAACCGGGAGGGUGCGUCGAAUACUGAGGGACUAGAGUACGGGAGAGGAAAGUGGAAUUCCUGGUGUAGCGGUGAAAUGCGUAGAUAUCAGGAGGAACACCGGUGGUGUAGACGGCUUUCUGGACCGUAACUGACGCUGAGACACGAAAGCGUGGGUAGCAAACAGG
This 253-nucleotide ribosomal RNA is filed under the name uncultured bacterium. RNAcentral's name for it is "partial 16S ribosomal RNA". It matches the Rfam family "Bacterial small subunit ribosomal RNA", at positions 524 to 776 of the family's 1533-position model. The record is from RNAcentral.